Molecule: small RNA, 424 nt
Filed under: Pongo abelii (Sumatran orangutan)
Lineage: Eukaryota; Metazoa; Chordata; Mammalia; Primates; Hominidae
Description: retained intron
Source: RNAcentral
CAUAUCCAUUUUCUGCUCUCCACCCAGGUCUUGUUCCAGGGCGAGAUUGGACUCCCCAUCCUGUGCGUGGGCUCUGUGUGGAAGAGCUGGGAGCUGCUGAAGGAAGGUUUUCUUUUGGCGCUGACCCAGGGCAGAGAGAUCCAGGCUCAGAACUUCUUCUCCAGCUUCACCCUGAUGAAGCUGAGGCACUCCUCCGCUCUGGGUGGGGCCAGCCUAGGGGCCAGGCACAUCGGGCACCUCCUCCCCAUGGACUAUAGCGCCAAUGCCAUUGCCUUCUAUUCCCACACCUUCUCCUAGGGGGCUGGUCCUGGCUCCACCCACUCCAAGCUCAGUGGACACUGGGUCUGGAAGGAAGGAGUCUUUUGCUUCCUUUCUCCUUUUUAGAAAAACAAACAUAGAAGAAAAUAAACGCACUUUAUCCACU